AUGGAGGCGCUGCUGGAGCUAGAGAAGGUGCAGAGAGUGCUCUCCCUCAUGGGCUCCCGCGGCCUCUCCGACUCCGACGGCAGCGGCGGCGGGGACCGCUUCCUCGCCCACUUCCUCCUCUUCCUGGCACAACCGUUUGAUUCACUUGCCAUUGAGAAGAAGGUCGUAUUAAUCUCUGAGCUUUUGAGAGAGGUUAAUUCUGAUAAUCUCAAAGAAGUGCAACGUCUAGCCAGUCUGGAAGGUACUAAUAGGGAAGAUGAACCAACUAAGAAGUUCAAGACGGAUGCCGAGAAAUUAACCAUUCAGGAUGCGCCUAUGAUUGGAUUCGAUGCAAUGAUGAGAGCCAAUUCCACGCUUGAAGAUUUUUGCAGGUCAUACUUCAUAUUUCAUGGUUUGGAUGUUAACAGACCACACUCUGUUUUCAAGUUUCUUCCUUUCCUUUCUUUUACAGAGAGCUACAUAUACCAGUUAGAUGCUUCAAAUGAAGACAGUUUGCUAUUAGUUCCAGACAACAACUCUUCUUCAACAGUAUUGGAAAGGAAAAUACAAGGUUCUAGUCAGAUGUCCUUGUCUGACAUGCUUGACCCCCUUGAUAAUCUUCUUCAAUGCCAGGGGUUAAUGACAGAUCAAUUGCGAAAUGAACUCAAAUCUGGCAUCCAGUAUUGGUCUCUAGAGAGGAAGCUUUGUCAAGCAUUAUCAAGAAAUGAUAAGAUAUCUAUCGAAGAUGUUAUGGAAGCAAUCCAUCUCAAAUCAUUUGACUAUCGAGUUCUUAAUCUGAUGAUGUAUCGGCUUACUGGUCAGCAGGUCAAUGACUUGCACAUGGAGUUCUUGUCUGUCUCGGAAUUUUUAGUUGAGAUAUGUGAUGACCUGUAUGAUUAUGAGGAUGAUGUGGUUAACAAUACUUUUAACAUCCUCCGCAUGUUUGCUGCGAUAUAUGGACCUUUAGAUGCACCAAAGAUGUUGGCCAAGUGCAUCGGUGAAGCUGAGGGAAAAUAUGAGAGCUUCUCAAAGAAAUUGGACCCUAGCAUCUCAAGAAGUUACUGGAGAAGAUGUGAGGAGGCUACAAAGGAAGGUGGAAAAAUAUCAGGCCAUGCGUAUGGCACAUGGAAUAUCCCUCCUUUGAUAGGAGAUGAAGAAUCAUUUCGCUUUGACAGAUUGAACAGAGGUGAUGCUUCUGCCAUGGCCAUCAGAUGA
RNAcentral lists this ribosomal RNA (1194 nucleotides) under Triticum aestivum (bread wheat). RNAcentral's name for it is "partial small subunit ribosomal RNA". Lineage: Eukaryota; Viridiplantae; Streptophyta; Magnoliopsida; Poales; Poaceae. The record is from RNAcentral.